UCCGGCUUAUCACCGGCAGUCGCCUUAGAGUACCCAACUAAAUGAUGGCAACUAAGGCCGAGGGUUGCGCUCGUUGCGGGACUUAACCCAACAUCUCACGACACGAGCUGACGACAGCCAUGCAGCACCUGUGUUACGGCUCCCUUUCGGGCACACCCGGCUCUCACCGGGCUUCCGUACAUGUCAAGGGUAGGUAAGGUUUUUCGCGUUGCAUCGAAUUAAUCCACAUAAUCCACCGCUUGUGCGGGUCCCCGUCAAUUCCUUUGAGUUUUAAUCUUGCGACCGUACUCCCCAGGCGGGAUGCUUAUUGCGUUAGCUGCGCCACUGACGAGCAAGCUCGCCAACGGCUAGCAUCCAUCGUUUACGGCGUGGACUAC
This 377-nucleotide unclassified non-coding RNA is filed under the name uncultured Pseudomonadota bacterium. RNAcentral's name for it is "uncultured proteobacterium contains 16S-23S intergenic spacer region". The record is from RNAcentral. Lineage: Bacteria; Pseudomonadati; Pseudomonadota.